This 14719-nucleotide long non-coding RNA is filed under the name Populus trichocarpa (black cottonwood). RNAcentral describes it as "long non-coding RNA (PTRI_LNC002081)". Lineage: Eukaryota; Viridiplantae; Streptophyta; Magnoliopsida; Malpighiales; Salicaceae. The record is from RNAcentral.
UUAAAGAAGCUUUAAGCCUCUAAAAUAAAAUGACCGACAGCAAACAUGUAGCAUACAUGAAAUCAUAAAAAAUAAUAAUUAAAAAGUAAUAAAGUAACGUAGCAAGCUUGCAUGAAAUUUCAUGUUAGUAGCUGCAUUACUAGCAUAUUUCAAGUUGUAUAUAAUGCAAAAGAUACUGUCAGAGAAGAACAGAAAUUACACAAUUAGUAUCCUAGAAAGAAUCGCUCAUAAGCAUAAAAGCAAUUCAUUUAAUUAAAGUUAUGAGAAUUGAUAUAAUAAUCCCUAGUCGUCUCAUGAAGAAUUUGGGCUCACAAAAAGCAGAGUGAAGGAAAAAGAUUUAUGUAACUCAAUUCGACUAGUUGGAGAUUCAGGCUUAGGUGAAUUCAGUUGCAUAAAUAACUAGUUGAAUCCAUGUUUUCAAUAUCCAUUAGUGAUUAUCAUCAAAUUCACAACCCAUUGAUACAUUCCAGAAAAAGGUUGAUAAAUAACGUGAAGAUCAACAGAAAGAAAAGCAGACAAAAAGAAGAGGGAAUCUACAAAGUUAUCUAUUUUUCCAUACCGAAUCUGCGGCAGCCUGCAAUGUAACGUGGUCACCCCAUUCACCACUCCUGAUUUUAGCCACAUAAAAAGUACAUACAUAUGAGCAUGAGCAUGAAUCUAUUUAAAGAAAGCUAUGGGAAUUUUUUCUUUAAAAAAAACAAGAAGAAAGAAAGAAAGAAAGAAACAGAGAUAAGUAACAAACUUGCUCAUUUUCUUCAGAUAGUCCUCAUAAGCCAUAGGAACAUAGCUGCUGUACAUUUGCGGCUGAGAUUUGAGCUGAUGAAAUCAACAUGGCGUGAAAUAUGAUUACAGUCAUGCUUACAUGUAUACGAAUGGAUCAAGAAGACUCUAGUACAAGUACAUAGAAGCACACUUAUUAAAACACCAACCAACCUGAUCAAUAACUCGUUCUCUCACCAAUUUGUGGUGCUCAGGAGAGCGAUAGAGUUGAUCUGACAGAGAACAAAACUGCAAAAACACAUAAACAAGUGAGACAUACCUUGAGCAAAUAACACUAGGUAAUAGAAUUCUAGAAGCAAGCUUUUUGCACUACCAUUUAUCUUUAAAAUAAAGUGGGUACCAACCUGACAGUUACCAUCUCCUUGAACUUUAUUCUCAACAAGAUAAUAUACCUUUAACCUAAUAAAACAGAAAAGACAUUGAUAUUAACAAUAUUGUUCAAGUCAAAAUAAUUUAGAGGCAAAACCACAACAUUCAUCAAGGAAGGAGACACAUGAAACACACCAAAAACCUAGAUCUCAAAACCCAUACUGUAGGAGAACAUGAUAACAUGAAAGAUACUAACACCCACACACUAUGCCUAUACUGAAACCUCUACCCCCAAAAUGUUAAUAAUUGAUAAUAAUAUGAAUGUAUCUAUCUAGAAAAUAAAGUUAUCCACAACAUUUUCCGAUGGCAGGUAUACCAUAAGGCACCCAAAUAUCCACUUCCAGCCAGUUCUCUAUCUCCUGUUGUAGUUUGAAGCAGUACAUUAUAAUAUAAAGACAAAUACUUGGGGAUUCACACCUUAUGAGAAGGUCCAGGAGACAAAUUUGCAUAAAAUUAAAAACACAGGAGAGGAAUAUAUAUACAGCACCUUUCUAGCAGUCUUUGAUGAUCUGACAUCUGUUCAUCCUCCGAUGGUAUUUCUCCAUUAGUUUUAGGAACAUGCUGCCAAAAACAGAUGAGAAAUUUAGGAUACUCAAUUCUUCAUUUUUGAAAGGAUAUCAAUCACUCAAGUUUGGAAGGAAUAUUAUCUUAAUCUUCAUUGCAAUGUGGUAUAGUUUGGCAGAAGUCAUACUUACAGAAACAGGAACCAUCUCAGUUAUCCUCUUGCCCACUUCACCAUCAAGAGCAGAUUCAUUUUCUAUAUUUAAAAUAAGUGUCAGCUCUUCCAUCUCGAGGGAAUUUUCUCCAUUGCUAGAAGAUGAAGUAGGAAUCAAUAUUUCAUCCUUCUUGAUAGAAUAAUCUGCCAUAUUUUUGCUGCAAUCAUCAGCAUCCAUCAUGCUUUCACUGUGAACAGUGACUGUCUGAUCAUCCUCAUGCUCUACACAUGGCAGAUAAAAUAAAAUACAUCAUGAAGAAUAGAGGGCCAAAAAUAACCAUGGAAUUGCAUAGCAGGUGCGGAAUUUCCUAGUACCAGAACCAUGGUAUGUUUCAUGAGGACCAGGCCAGUGCUGUGUAAUAAUUGAUUCUCGUUCAGUGUUAUUGAACCCAGAUGCUUCCACAUAAGCAAUCCUUGAAAGUUCUUCUUGGAGAGCACGAGCAAUAACAGCAUCAUUCUCCACAUUACUUGCAUAUAACGGGUCAUUAUAAUAUUCUCUAACAUACUCAACGUUAAAUGUAUCCAUGCCAUAACAAGUAACAGAAUUACAUGAACCAGAAUUUGAAAGUGUACAAACAUCAAUUAGAUCAUGGAGACCCCAUCGAACAACAUCUGGAUCCUGCUCAUAUAAAAUCAUCUUGGCUAUCUCUUAAAGAAAGCACAACUGCCUUGUGAUAUGUACUUGCACAAAUCUUUCUAACGGGCACCUGCCAAAUUAGCCAUAAUAUGGAAAAUCUAAUCAAAUUCACUAUACAGAAACAAAACAAAUAACUUCAAACUUUCACUAAUUAAAAGCCAAAACUUUCUAUAUCCUACAAUAAGGCCACAAAACCCAUUUGCAGCAAUCGAAAUUAAACCCUCCUAAUUUCAACAUAAAAAACCCUCCUAAUUUCAACAUAAAAAACCACUCAUGCAAUUACGCUGCUAACCCAAUUCCCAUCCUUCAAUCAAAACUUCAUAUUUCCAACAUCAAGAAGCUACAUCUUAGUUUGAACCUUAAAAGAAAACAUCAUUAAACAAACAUCUAUCACCAAAUUCAAUUAAAAAAAAAUGCAUCAACAAAGCAGCAAAAAGGACAUAACUUUACUUUAAAAAAAGAGAAAAAAUUCCUUUCCUUGAAACCCCUAACAACAUUCAAUUCAAUCAAAAACCCCAGAGAAAAACAAAACCCAUCACCAAUUCAACCAAACACAACAUAAAGUCUUCAGAUUUCCAACAUCAAGAAGCUACGUCUUAGUUUAACCCUUAAAAGAAAACAUCAUUAAACAAACAUCUAUCACCAAAUUCAAUUAAAAAAAAAUUCAAAUGCAUCAACAAAGCAGAAAAAAGGACAUAACUUUACUUUAAAAAAAGAAAGAAUUCCUUUCCUUGAAACCCCUAAUAACAUUCAAUUCAAUCAAAAACCCAAGAGAAAAACAAAACCCAUCACCAAUUCAACCAAACACAGCAUAAAGUCCAAACCUUAUUCAGAUCACAUAAAAAAAAAUCUGAAUACAACAACAUAAGUACGUACCUUGUUCAGGUUUUUAACUCCAAGAUAGGCAACAAAGAAUCUAUCUUUUUCUUUCUUAGUUUCCCUUUCGAACUAGAUAGAAAAAGGGAUUUACUUGAAAACCGAACAAGUGACUAGGAAGACUCUUAACAGAAAGAAUAUCAUAGAGAUAUUGGGUUUGGUGAAAGCGGCCGUCUAUAGAGGGUGUUUGGGAGUGUGGUUGUGGUUGCUUUUCAAAGUGCUUUUCACUCAGAAAAGUAUGCCAACAAUAUUUUUUUAUUUUUUAAAAAUCAUUUUUGAGAUCAGCACAUCAAGAUGAUUUGAAAACAUCAAAAACAUAUUACUUCAAAGCAAAAAAAAAAAAAAAAAAAAUUCAAAUUUUUUGAAAAGUGCUUUCCAACAGCAAUGCCAAACGCGCAUCCUUUGUUGAAAUUUGUAUAAAGUUGAUGAUGCCUUGCGGUGUGCUAUCUCUGAAUCCUCCGAUUCUCGGUUUCUUGAGCCACGUGUAUUUUUUCUGGAUUAUCUUUUUUCUUUAGUUAACUUUUCGGUUUCUGCUUGUUAAGAAUUUUAAAAGUUUUUUUUUUUUAUUAUUAAUUUUGCGGAUUAGUUUGAUAUUUGGGGUCCGCUGUACAAUUAGUUUCUACCUUCUACAAUUAGUUUUUAGAAUAUUCCAAUGUUUUUCUGGAAGGUUGAGUACGUUGUUUGUUACAAAUUAAUAUUAAUUAUUGAUGACUGAAUUAAUUAAUAAGAUCAUGUUUAUUUUUGUAUUUUUAAAAAAGUUAUUUUUUAUUUUUUAUUUUUUAUUUUUUUUGCUUGAAAUUAAUAUUUUUUUGGUGUUUUUAAAUUAUUUUGAUGUGUUAAUAUUAAAAAUGAUUUUUAAAAAAUAAAAAAUAUAUUAUUUUAAUAUAUUUCUGAGUAAAAUAUAUUUUAAAAAACAACUAUAAUCAUAUUUUCAAACACACUUUAAAUCCUAGAAUGUGCUGGUUAUUAAUUUCUAAGCGUUGGAAUUUUGGAUUGUUUAGUAGAACAUUUUUAUUUUAUUUUUAUGAUUUGUUUGGUAUUAUAGGAUUAAAUACCAAAUUGUUUUGACAUACAACUACCACCGAUUGAUUUUAUAUUUCUUUUACUCAACAAAUAAUUUUGCCCUUGAUUUGACAAUAAUUAGUUGCGUGUAUUUAUUUUUUAUUUUUUAUAAUAUGUUCCUUUGCAUAUUCAUUAUAAGGGAUGUUGUGUUUAAUCUCCUGGUGGAUUUUUUUUUUAUUUUCCAGUUAAAAAACAGUGAUUUCCAAAGUAUUUUAUUAUAUAUAAUCUUUCUAUGCCAUGAAAUAUUCUAUACAAGAUUCUUUAAGAUCAUGCAGUGAUUUGAGGUGGAAAAAUCUAAGUAAAAAAGGAGAAAAAUUUGAGAGUGAAGUUUUAAAGGUGUUAAAAAUAUUAAAAGAAGAAAGUUUUAAGAAUGUUUGUCAAGAAUUAUAAAAAUCAUUAACCAUCAUCAUGGAUCCUAGUAUUUCUUAAAUUAAUUUUUAAUUAGAUAAAAAUAAAUAACAAAUUUAAAACAAGGGGUCGAAUGCAUUACAGCCAUGUCUUUGAACUUAAAACUCUAUAAUGUGGACGGACUGACCUUUUUCCUUUUUUUUGGUUUGAAGACAGAGAAGCGCGGCGAGGAUAGGAUAAGUGAACUGGCAGAUGGGGUAUUGAUUUCAGUCCUUUCCUUCAUGACAAUGAAGGAGGCGAUAAAAACUAGUGUCCUUUCUUGUAGAUGGGAAAAGCUCCGGCCUUCUCAACCCUAUUUGAACCUUGAUGCUUGGACUUUUUCUUGAAGGAUCUGGUUCAGUAAAUUCCAUCCUCGAGACUCCCUCUUUAGAAUAUAUUGCAUAUUUGCAUGGAUGCAGCAUUUUGUGGCUCUAAUCGCGUAUCCUUCUGGAAUUUGGCAGCAUAAAUAGAAUACACUGAAUCUUGUUGUCUUAGUUUAACUCAGAAUUACAAAGGGAAAAGGACCUUUGAAACUCCCUCCAAAGCCUCCUCGGAGUAGAAACUGGCGGGGCAGCCUUGUGACACCUUUUGCUGGUAACAACAUGCUGGUCUUGCAUAGCUGUCCAGCAAACCCGGCAAGCACGUCCUUUUGUCCAAGUACUCCACAAUGAGCGUCCCAUUGCAUGCUGAUAUACUUUCCUUGUUCACUUGCUAAUUAUCUAGUACAAGAUUUUGUGUGAUUGUCUGCUUUUAAGAAUAUAAACCUUCUGUGUUUGUAUGAAUAGGGUUGUAAUGGUUCUGAUUUCUACCCAUUUGCAGAUUUUAAGGUACUAGCAUUAUCCAACUCAGAGAAGAAGCCUGCAUCAAGCAAGUUAUCACUACAGUCCAAGGGGCUUACAUCCUGAGACUGACGAUUCAAAGUCCACCAAAGUUGAAUGACCGUUCGUUUUUUAGGGAUCAAAGAAAGUAGAAUUCUAGCGCUCCUCUGUGUGUUUAUUUUAGCCGAGGGCAGUUCGUUUUUGGAUUGAUCUUAAUGUCUCACGGCUUUGGCAUUUGGUUUACUGCCCAACUCUAUACUCUGAUUCAGUAGCUUUUUUCAGACACAUCUGAGGCAGCUUCUUAAAAGUGCUAGUGCUAGUGCUUUUUAUAUACUUGACAGUAAAAUAAUUUCUAAUUUUGAACCCAUAUCGCCUGUGGCUUUAGUUUAAUAUCAUCAUCCUUUAUGAGACGAGUCUAGCGGACCAUUAGACCACUUCAGAAAUCCAUCUCUACAGAUUAUGGCUCGUAUUUUAUAGACAACGACUUCUGAACCAAUUCUACCACUACCAUCUGUUAAAGAAUCGUGCGUGCAUUAUUUGUCUUCUUGAUAGGUGAGUCAAAAAGCUAAUAAUUUAACAGGGGGUAUCCUGUUCGGAGAAAGAGCAUUUGGGCUCCCUCACUAGGCACCAGGCUGGCCCGUGUUGCCGUGUUGGACGGCUGGCUUCUCUAGGUGGAUUGGUGGGUGUUGAAGAAUGUCCACGUGGAGAUAAAAUGGCCUAUCAAUGUCCAUGUGUUAACCCGGAUAUAUCAACCCUUACUGCAUAAUUUUGCAUUCAAGACGACAUUGAUUAUCAUUGUUUCUGUCCGUGUGUGCUUGUAUGGUAUACGGCGUAUAUACUUCCAUAGAGGCCAUCGAUCAGUGAAUUAUAUAUACGCAAUACACAUGAGCGAAUGUAAUCCAUUCUAAAACGAAAAUCUGUGCACAAAUUAACUCAUUUAUUUUAUCAAACCUUUACAAUUGUAUCUCGAGGAAAGCAGGUAGAACAAAGUAGUUUACUUACACUUAACAAAAAGGCGGCCUCCAUACAUGAGCUGCUUCAUCAAAGCAAGAUUCAUUGCCUAGUUCUCCAAGCAGACCAACAUCCACUCUCUCCAAUUAUUGGAUCCACAAACCUCAUCUUUAUACGUUCUCUUUUAGAUCUUUCGGGAGCAUCUUUCGGGGCCAAACUCUUCAUAGGGAGCAAGGGGCUUCCAUUGUCUGUUGUGUCAACAAUCUUGUUGAUCAUCUCCAGGAUUUCACUCAUUUUGGGGCGUGUUUUUGCCUGUCUUACCAAGCAACAAUUUGCUACGGCAGCAAGCUUCUGGGCAGUCUUAAUGUUAUAUUUCCCCUCAAGCCUUGGGUCCAAGAUCAACCUGAACUUUCUUGCACCAGAGAGGUGUGGCCUGACCCAUUCCAAGAGUUUUUGUUCAUUCUUUGGGCGGUUCCUAUCCAAAGGACGUCUGCCCGUUAUAAGUUCGUAUAGAAAAACCCCAAAGCUCCACACAUCGCUUUUAGAAGUGAGACGCCCGGUUCGAAUAUAUUCAGGAGCUGCAUAUCCGAUUGUUCCAACUACCUGUUUGCAAAUGAGACAAAUUGGUUCCUCAGUUUCUUUAUAUCUACAAACUGAUCUUACUACAGAGUUCUGAUGAUGCAGUAAUACAGUCUCAAAGACCCUAGAUGGCUGAAUAAAUAGCGUUAUCAAAUCAGCAUAAGAAAGUUCGCAGGAACAUAAGUGAUGUGAAACUGAAAGCAAAAAGUUAUAGUUCGGCUUCUAAUGCUACUGAUUGAUAAGCCUUGUCAAUUCAGCAUAAGAGCAGUUUGUUUGACAUGAUUGAAGGAUCAUUUUUAGUAAUCAUAAACAUACUGCAGUCGAAACAUGGCUCAAACCAUCUGAAGGUCCCAAUCUGGCCAGCCCAAAGUCUGAUAGCUUUGCAUUCCAUUGGUCAUCCAGUAGUAUGUUUGAAGACUUGACAUCUCUGAAAAUAAUCUGUACAAACAAUGAAAGAAAAAUGGUACAUGCAGUAAAGUGAAGUGAAGCAACUAGACACAGUAGCACAACCAAAUUGAAGAACGCCGAACAAACUCGAAAUGAAGAGCAGAGGGGGAGGGAAAAAUAUGGUAAAUAUGAAGAUCCAAACCCAACCCAAUCUCUGAAGGAGGGUUGGAGGUUCACAAAAACUCAGUAAUAGCAAGCUUAUAACAAUAUCUUAGAGAGUCAAGUUAAAAAUACCUGAAAAUCCAUUCCUUCAUGGAGGUAUGCUAAGCCUCGGGCAGCAUCCUGGGCAAUUUUUACUCUUGUCGCCCAGGGAAGAACCUUCUGAAAUUUACUUGACAAGUGAUCCUGCACACUUUUGUUGGGCAUAAAUUCAUACACCAGAAGGCGCUGGACUCCCCGUUCAUCGUCCUCAGCACAGUAGCCCACUAAUUUGACAAUAUUUGGAUGUUCAGCAAUCCCUAGAAAAUUUACUUCAGUCACCCAUUCCUUGUGCCCCUGUGAACAAAGAUGAAAUCACCCUUAGCAACAUCUCAUAACUAAGAAUCUGAAGGCAAUAACUUUCUCUCUUCUUAAUUACAAUCUUCUGAGUUCAAUUCUCAAUUCAUCAGAUUUCAAGUGCUAAGAUUUUUCUAAGGCAAUAAUCUAAAGACAAUGAAAUUUUGUCUUGUUAACAAUUUUCUCAUCAAGGACUCGCUCCCCAAACAGUAAAUGUUGAUUUAAGAAUGAUAUGUAGUAACCAGGCAUGGAGAAAAAAAGGAAAACUUGCCUGGAGCCCUCUUCUGCCCAGUUGUUUGACAGCGAUAUCGAUCUUCUUACUUGAGUCUUCCAUGCUUCGGAUUACUCCCCUGUACACACCACCAAAUCCACCCUCUCCAAUCAUGACAGAGCGGCUGAAAUUCUUUGUCGCUGUCUUCAGUUCUGAGAAUGUGAAGACUCUAAGAUUGCUCUGUCUUUGAGACAGAGCAGCAAAUGAGUUCUUUGUGGACGAGUCUGUGCUAAAAUCUGAUACAUUCUGAGAAUUGAACUCAGACCCAGAUUUCCUCAGGUCACGAUCAGUUGACAUCGACGUUGAUGUAGACGAAGUAGAUCGGGCAGAACAGAUUUGGUUACAAGUCUUUGGUUCUUCAUUUUUCUCUUUAUUAGAGAAGUGAAAACACUUCAUAGUUCCUAAAGGACCAACUGCCUAGUUGCAUACCCACAAUUGUGUUAGCAUUACAACAACGACAUCAUAAUUAAGGAUACGAGAAAACAAAAGUACAGAAACCAAACAUGUUUACAAACUCGAAACACAUCCAAAUACCCAUAAAAUUACCAAUGGUAUUCAAACAAGCAAAACCUUAACCUAUGAAGUCAGGCAAUUUAUUCAAUUGCAAAACUAAAUAAAUUAUCCAAAACUUGCAUGCUAAUCAAAUCAACCAAGCCAAAAAGAGGCCAAAUUUUCCUCACAAAGCACUUUAAUAAAAGGUAAUUAACUUAAAACAUGAACCCUAUUGUUAUUUUCUAAAGGCAAUAACUUUCUCUCUUCUUAAUCACAAUCCCAUAACAUAAAGAGCCUAAGCCAAGUUGUUGCCAUUUUCCUUUCAUAAAGAGCCUAAGCCAUCAGAAUUCACCAACCAAGAUCAUAUGCUCCUGAUUCCCGGGAGCAUUGUCUUUGAAAUCUCAUCCAUAACCAGAAGCAUCCUAUCUUUAUUCAAACAACCAUGAACCAACGCAAAGCUUGGAGACGAUACACCACUGAGGGUGAAAUAGUCACCAACCAAGAACAGAAGCUCCAGAACCCAAUUCAUCCAUGUAAGGCAGCCUUCAUUUCAUUUACCCAUUCUCUCACAUGACAAUAAGCUCCUUAUUCUUCUUUAAAGAAACAUUUUUUUUCUUAAACAGUGCAACUAGAUAAGCAAGCCCAUCAAGAAACAAACGCAAGCAAAGAUGUUAAAGAAAGUCUGCUAAAGCAUCAAAAUUUAAUACCCAUUUUGCAAGAUAAACAACAAAAGGAGAAAAAAAAGCCACUCACCUCUCUCUCUAUAGUAAAAAAUAGACGAAAAGAACACAGCUCCUGCUAUCCUUCACAGGUAUUCACGUAAACAAAGAUUCAGAAUCCAAAAGGGAGAGCAGUGAUUGAUUAUAGACUCAACAACGAGCACUUCAUGGUCAAAAAGUCAAUAAAAGGCAGCUGGACUGUCGUUGAUUUUAAUAUGCAGGAGAGGUUGUUUUUUAAAAUAUAUUUUGUUUUAAAAUAGAUUAAAAUAAUAUUUUUUUUUAUUUUUUAAUAUUAAUAUAUAAAAUCUAUAUUUACUAAAGAAAGCAAAAAAAAAAAAAUGAAAAUGUGUGGAGGGUUAUAUUUGCCGUGUGAGAGGAAAAACCGUGUGAAAGAUACUGAUAAGUGUGUUGUGGGAUUGUUUCUCGGAAAAAAUGAGAUUCUUCUUACAGGUGACAAUUACAUGGAUUUUUUUUAUUUAAAAAUAUAUUUUUUAAUAUUAACACAUUAAAAAAAUUUAAUAUUUUCUUUUUAAAGUCAACAUAUUUUUAUAAUACAUUAAUAUCAAAAUCAAACGCCCCUCUAGUAAUCUGUACAGUUUUUGUUUGUAUCUAAUUUCUUAAUGAUAUAUCUAAUACACGUUCGUUGGUGUUUUCAAAUGUUAGUUGGAAGUUGGAAACCAUUAAAGUCCCUGUGCUUUUAUUUUUUUUUCAACUUGGUUUUUUUUUUUAUCAAUAAUGAAGGUAUUUUCGUCCUCCAUUACUUUUUUUUCUAACUAGUUCAUUAAGAAAUUGUAUAUUAAAAUGUGCAUAAUUGUAUUUUUUUAAUUAACAUGAGUGUCUGGGUCAGUUUGUACAUAUUUCGACUAAUUUCACGAACCCUAAAGUUAACGACCAUGUAAGCCUCCAGUGGCCCUGAGAUUUGUGAGACUCGAACUGGUGAUCUCUAGGGAGGAAAUCCAAUAUCUAACCAGUUGAACUACAGCCCUCAGAAUUAUACAUGGAAAUUGUACAUUGAUUAUGCCGAUCACUUUUUUUUUUAUUUGAUGAGAGAAUAUUGUUGGUAGCCAAGAUUGUAAUGGUUGCUUCGUGUCAUGUGUUAGUGUCUUAUUAGCUGGACAAAGCUGUGUGUAGAGAGAGUGACAACUAUUUCAUAGACACUAGACUGGUUUUAAACCUCGUAAGAUGACAAGCAACAUAGGCUUUAUAUUUCGAGCAUGAAUUAGGCUCACGUCAUGCAAUAUCGAAGGCUAGUCCUCUUCUUUCUUAAUGUUUAAGACAUGAAUAAUGUUUUGUAUGUUCUUAGCAACAUGCAAGGCACUACAUGUUACUAUAUAUGGUGAGCAGGUAGAGGGUGUGAUUGCAAGAAAGAUUCUUUUUUGCCCUUUUAAGAUCAGUUUUAGUAAAGAUGGGAUUUGAAAUUAAUUAAAAGAUGAAAGAUCUCGCUUCUCUUCAUUAAUGUCAUUUCAACAAGUCUUGGUCUACUGUGCAGUGGUAAAUUCUUGAUGUGAUCUGAUGCUACUUGUCUGCAAUGGUCAAUAAUAUUCCACCAUCAAGCAUGCCCCACGCUCACAAAAUGAUAAAAAUCCCUUUGAAUUUGAACUCGAGCUCGCUUGAAAGAUAAAGCUUCCCGUAAGAACUGGUGAUCAAAAGAUCACGCCACUAGGUGGUGCGAUCUACAUUCCAGAGUCAAUGAAACUUAAUUCUCUAACCAGACAAAACUGAGAAUCAGUCACUUUCAUGUCCAAAUUCAUUCUACGUGCGUAAAGCGAAUGUUAUGAGAUCUGGCUCCACUCAGUGAGCCAGUCAAUCCUUCCUAAAAUUGCCUUGGGUGAGAAAAAAAAAAAACACGUUAGAAAAUAUUACUAGGGUUUUAAAAAGAUUAUCCGAAUUAAUUCAAAUAACCCGGUCAUGAGAUUCGGAUUGAGUUGUUGAGUCUUUUAGACCAUGCCUAGGAUAUCAUAUAAUGGCUAUAAUUGAGCUCAGCUACAAUACUAUGGGCUAAGCUCACAGUUGAGCCAGGCGUCAAAUUGCCUACACAUGCCAUAUUCUGGUAAGUUUAGAGAAAUUGCACGAGUCUUUCCUGUAUGUUCAUGAAUUAUUGUCAUUGGCAUGGCAUUGCUUUAAAUGGGAUUGGAACUACUUCAUCUCGUAAACUAGUCUAGAGAAGGCCAUAAUAGUUGCAUUUAGCAGGGCUAUUUGGCUUAUCCCAGAAUCAAUUUCUUUUGCACCCAUGCGCAGGUCCCAAGCAGUUUCUGAUUUUUCUAAGAGAAAAAUCAUGAGCUUAAUGUUUUUUUUUUCCUUUUAUACUCCUGCCAAAUGUUUCUGCAUAAAGGAAUAAAGAGAAUUACUCCUCGAUUUCAUAAUUUUCAAGUAAACAACACGAGAAAAGAGAGACCAUUAUUUGAUACGGAAGUAUUACAGAACCAUUUAAAUUUUCAAAUUGUUGUGAAGGUUCCUUCUGCCCUCAUGGCCUUACGAGCAUGAUACGUAAGUAUUAGAGAAUCAUUUAAAUUUUUUUCUUGCAAGUAACUUUCAGACGAGAACCCUCAAAGACCCUAUUAGGAAAUUCCAUGAUUUGUCAAUUAUAUACUGUUUAUAUUUCAAACUUACUAUCUCUUCCCCUCGAAACAGAAGCUUGAAGAAUGAUGUCUUUUUACUUCAUUUUACUCCGAUGCAUUACUCUAGAAAAUGGAAGAAGAAAUGCUAUAGUAUUCAGUUCUCUCCUUCAUAAAGUGUUGGGUUAGUUUAAUUACUUGUAGUUGUAGCUUUACAUCUCUCAAGAAUCAAGUGUUACUUCAUUAAUGAUCUGGAAUGUGCACUCUCCGGUUUUCUCUGAUAUUUUAUCGUGUUUUGAAGCUUGCCCGUUAGGCUCAAGAGGACAACUGGAGCAUGCGAACCCCGCGCAAGUCUGGAUUCUACUUCACCACUGUCACUCUACUCUUUGGAUCUGAGGUUUGCCUAUAGGCUAUAAUGCAUGUACCCUAUUAUUUAAGAUACUGAAGCGAUUGUGAAGAUCUUCACUAUUAUAUCACUACCUAAUAUAACUUAUUUGUUACCUAGUUUAGAUAUGAUUGUGUAUUUAUUAUUAGCAUAUAAUCUUAGUAGUAAUCAUGGGAGAAAAUAUAUGCAAGAUUGUCUUUCCUUGCUGCAAGCUUUUCCCACUCUAUAUAUACAUAUGUAUAGCAUAAGAAUGGGAUGAAUUAUAACUCUGUUUUACCACUGCACUGUCUCACGUCUCUUCAUUGCUCUAUUUCAAAUUUCUUCACCUAUGUAUGUAUGAUCAGGCAGGUACAAUUAUCAACUGCCUCCAGGACAGCCAAACCAUGUUUAGCUUGUAAUCCAAAGUCUGGAUUCUCAGGAGUAGUUUCGAUGGCUGCUAAUACUGAAAUCAAGAAAAGGCCUCAGAUUGAGAUUUCAUUUAAAGGCCUAACCCUUACUUUAAGAGCCAAUAACAAAACAUCUAUUAAGGUGUGUAACAGGAAGAAUCAAGCCUGGCCGUAUUACAGCUGUAAAGGGUCCAUCAGUAGCUGGGGAGACAACGUUUCUUUCUGCUCUUGCAGGGAAAGCAAUUGGAUGCAGGAUGAUUGGUUUGAUUCUUAUCAAUGGGAAAAACGAGUCCAUCUACUCAUAUAAGAAAAUUAUCGGUUUUGUUCCACGAGAUGAUAUAUAUCGUGCAUGGGAACUUGACAGUUGAAGGGAACCUCUGGCUCAGCGCACAUUGCAGGUAUGCCAUAAAUCGUCUCUUUCACAUUUCAACAUUAACUUGAUCUCUUUUUUAUCGUGGGAAAUUUUUUUCAUGUAUCAUUUACCAAGUUUCUGUAGAUAAUGAAUUAAUUUCAAACGAUAAUCGAAAAGCUCAUCGCCAAUAAGCAACAGUCUAUAUUGGACAUAUAUACAAUAGGUGGAACUAUGCUUGUGACCAGGUGUCUCAUGUUUUUCAAAUAUUGCUUUUAUAGAAGACCAUGACAACAUCAGAUGGAAGCCAGAAAAAGAUAGACCCUACAAAGAAGUAUCAUAGAUCAACUUUCAUUGCUUUGACAAACAAGAUCCAAAUGUUUACCUCAUGCGACGAACAGGAUUGUAGUGCACCUCCGCCCAAAAGCUCAAGUAAAUAACUGCACAAAACAAGAGUUUGCAAGGGAAUUGGAAUUCAGAUCUCAUCCAACAUUUUCAUGAAUCUUUCUUCCUUUUUUCUUCCCUUUUUUUUUUUGGAAACUAACUGGUUAAAUUAAGCUGAAUAAGAAUUUUUCUUGUUCUGAUUAUUUGAGUGUUCAAUGUAAUAAACUUUUCCCCAUUUUACAUUUCCUAAUUCCAUAAUCAACAAAUUUUAUUCUACAACAAAAAAAUCUUACAUGUAAAAUCUCUACAUAUUAGAAAGAUGGUGGAGCAUUCUUCGCUUUUAGAUUUGUAUCAAUCAACAAAUAAGUUUAAAAUGUAAAACUAUCUAAUCUUACCUCCAUUGUUGGACUUUAGCACUUUUGGAAGGAUCUCGAUGCAACAUGUAUCCUUGAAUGAAGUUAUCAUAAAUAUCUUGAUACCAUACUGCAAUUGCAUGGCAACAUGCAUAGACAUUAGUUAAAGAAGCUUCAAGCCUCUAAAAUAAAAAAGCCGACCGACAGCAAACAUGUAACAUACAUGAAGAAAUCAUAAAAAAUAAUAAUUAAAAAGUAAUAAAGUAAUGUAGCAACCUUGCUUGCUUGCUUGCAUGGAAUUUCAUGUUAGUAGCUACAUUACUUGCAUAUUUCAAGUUGUAUAUAAUGCAUUGAGAAAAAGAUACUGUCAGAGAAGAACAGCAAUUACACAAUUUUUAUCCUAGAAAGAAUCGCUCAUAAGCAUGAAAGCAAUUCACUUAAUUAAAGUUAUGAGGAUUGAUAUAAUAAUCCCUAGUCGUCUCAUAAAGAAUUUGGGCUCACAAAAAGCAGAGUGAAGGAAAAAGAUUAACGUAACUCAAUUCAGCUAGUUGGAGAUUCAGGUUUAGGUGAAUUCAGUUGCAUGAAUAACUAGUUGAAUCCAUAUUUUCAAUAUCCAUUAGUGAUUACCAUCAAAUUCACAAUUCAUUGAUACAUUCCAGAAAAGGUUAAUAAAUAACAUGAAGAUCAACAGAAAGAAAAGCAGACAAAA